RNAcentral lists this ribosomal RNA (252 nucleotides) under uncultured bacterium. RNAcentral's name for it is "partial 16S ribosomal RNA". It matches the Rfam family "Bacterial small subunit ribosomal RNA", at positions 524 to 776 of the family's 1533-position model. The record is from RNAcentral.
UACGUAGGGUGCAAGCGUUAAUCGGAAUUACUGGGCGUAAAGCGUGCGCAGGCGGCUUUGCAAGACAGUUGUGAAAUCCCCGGCUCAACCUGGGAACUGCAUCUGUGACUGCAUCGCUGGAGUACGGUAGAGGGGGAUGGAAUUCCGCGUGUAGCAGUGAAAUGCGUAGAUAUGCGGAGGAACACCGAUGGCGAAGGCAAUCCCCUGGACCUGUACUGACGCUCAUGCACGAAAGCGUGGGGAGCAAACAGG